This 596-nucleotide long non-coding RNA is filed under the name Rattus norvegicus (Norway rat). RNAcentral describes it as "long non-coding RNA NONRATT009638". Lineage: Eukaryota; Metazoa; Chordata; Mammalia; Rodentia; Muridae. The record is from RNAcentral.
GCGGCACGGGAAGUGGAGGGAGCACGCCCCAUAUUAGUGGUCCGGGCCCGGGCAGGCCCAGCUCAAAAGAGGGCAGACGCAGCGACACUUGUCCUUCACACACCCCCGUUCGGCGUAGUACCCCGAGAGCUCAGGAUGUGUGGCAGUUUUCGGAUGGAAGCUCAAGAGCCCCUAAGUUCUGAAAAACUCUGAAACCCCCCAGGGGCGGGGGCUGGACAUGCGCCCGCCCAGCCGAUGUCAGCGAGCUCCGUCAUCCUGCUAGUUUGUGAUGUUUUCUGACAGUAGCCUCCAGAGAGACAAGAGUCCUGCCGAGUCCUCCCAGCCUGGGCCCUGCCAGUGCCCAUUUUAUUUAUAUUUUUUUAAUAAAACGUAAAAAACAAAAAAAACAGACCCACAUUGGAACAGUGAAUCCGUCCCAUUCAGAGGGCCCUCGGACUGCCCCGCGGUCGAAGAGGCGUCCAACCCUUGUGAAACCAGCCGACCUAAUUACCCGUAUUGUGGAGAUGAGCAUGAGUCCCUAACCCCUCGUUUCUAUACAUUCUAUGUUGUCUUUUAAAAAGUGUGCUUAACAUUGACAUAAUAAAUGUUGGAGCUUU